UCUCUCUGCAGAUUUUCUGUUCAAGCCUGAAACCUCUGACAGCCGAUGCUGGUCUGAUGACAUGAAGCUGUGACGGAUCUCUGUCCUGCGACGCCGGCAUCAUGGAUCACUUUACAGACGGCUGGUGAGUCGUGUUAACGUGAAAACAUACCGACCGACCUCAAGUCUCCACUGGUUCCUCGGACGCUCGCUGAUUUAACUAUCACAGCUGGUGACGCCGUUCUGGUGGCCGAUGACCACAGCCAAAUUUUUACCGAUCGACUCCUCUGCACUUCCAUUUUGAAAUCCAGGAGGAAAUUACGUGUUUUCCAGCAUCAUCAGCCUUUGCUUACAGAGAGUAGGAACUGAAGUUCGUUCGAAGGAUUUUAUUAUUAUUUUUUCCGUCUGAGGUGGUUUUGGAGCAGCAGCAGAUGACGAUGAUGGAGAGGCAGCGGAGAGGUGAUGAAGAGC
Molecule: non-coding RNA, 450 nt
Organism: Plectropomus leopardus (leopard coralgrouper)
Lineage: Eukaryota; Metazoa; Chordata; Actinopteri; Perciformes; Serranidae
Source: RefSeq, a predicted model, not a curated record